AGCGCAGACGGUUGAUUAAGUCUGAUGUGAAAGCCCGGAGCUCAACUCCGGAAUGGCAUUGGAAACUGGUUAACUUGAGUGCAGUAGAGGUAAGUGGAACUCCAUGUGUAGCGGUGGAAUGCGUAGAUAUAUGGAAGAACACCAGUGGCGAAGGCGGCUUACUGGACUGUAGCUGACGUUGAGGCUCGAAAGUGUGGGUAGCAAACA
Molecule: ribosomal RNA, 207 nt
Filed under: uncultured bacterium
Lineage: Bacteria
Description: partial 16S ribosomal RNA
Rfam family: Bacterial small subunit ribosomal RNA
Source: RNAcentral